UUCAUUCUUCUAGCGAUGAGUCACUGCUGCCAUCUUGUUCCCAUGCUUCCUGCAAGGAGGAGAGAGGAGGCAGCAAUCCUGGAGAAAGGGGACUGAAUCAACAGUGGGAUGAAGAACCAAGACAAAGGAACUGGGCCAGCAAGUGGUAGCUCAGCAUUUGAACCAACAAAGUUUGCCUCCAGAAUCUGGACUUACUCACUGCAUUGUAUUUCCCUUUGAACAGUGAAGAAUUUCUGGACAGACCGGAUGUUUCCCAGUUAAGGAAGGAGAGCAGGUCUUACCUGCUGUUAUUGCUCCACUUUGAAGGGAGAUUGUCCUCACAGCCUUCUUUCACACUUUCAGACCUGAAAUUGCAGGGUGAAAAACUUGUAUAUUUGCAACCACUUAUUUGUGUGAAUUAAGAUUCUCUCAAUACUGUGCAACUAACACAAAAUUUAAAAAGACAUUGAAUGAGCAUCAUUCACAGUUGCCAAGAUAUAGAAGCAACCUAAGUGUCCACUGACAGAUGAAUGAGUAAAGACAAUGUGGUGUAUGUAUA
This is a long non-coding RNA of Camelus dromedarius (Arabian camel), 538 nucleotides long. RefSeq lists it as uncharacterized. The record is from RefSeq and is a predicted model, not a curated record. The transcript is spliced from 3 exons. NCBI's taxonomy places the organism in Eukaryota, Metazoa, Chordata, Mammalia, Artiodactyla, Camelidae.